AGGAGAUGGUGAAGCAAGCCAUAGGGUAGACUAGACGGGAACCGCCAAGCAGCUGGCCACAACUCCAGACGCGCCCGCCCUUCUUUGGAAAUAACCCCCCAGCAGUGGCAGCAGUUCCAGACUCCCUACUUGAGAAGAGUCAGGAGCUGGGGAGGGAGGUGCCAGGGUAAGGGUGGACAGAAUUCUGUGGGCGCUUAGUUUCCAUGCCAGUAAAGAUGCUGAGGGAGUGUUGGUUGGGAGCCCAGUGACCAGAGGCUCUUCUGAGACUGUCCUCUUUUGAAUAGGUACGAACUCAAGCAUGCUUCUCACAUCAGCAAGUUACCCAAGGGCAAGCACAGUGUCAAAGGUACUGUCCCCAGCCUGACAUGGCAGGUUCGGGUGGGGGCGCCUUUCCUCCAGCAGCUGCACUCUCGCUACAGGAGGUUCAUUUAGAAACAACUGCCUCAGUCCUUGUGUCAUAAUGCCAUGCGAGUUCUGUGGGGUACCAUGAACUAAGCAGGGCACAGGUCACUUCAGAUUUUGAGCAGUGAUAUCAGGGCCCAGAGGACCUCUGGUGCACCUGGAAUUAUGGGUAGCAUAUGAUGGUCAAUGCCUAGGGUAUAACCUCAGCUGGACCAAUGUAACUUUACUGGUUUAGAAUGUUGCCUUGGAACCUUUCUUUACAGUGUCUGUGUUUGCAUCUAAAGGAUGUUUAAAGUGAACACACACAUCCUGUAUCAAAUAGAUGUUGUAUACCCAGGACAUUUCCACACCUCCUGUUCCACACCCCCUGUUAUACCUAACACUUGAGCCUUCCACCUUACAGGUUUGGGCAAAACCGCCCCUGACCCUUCGGCCAGCAUCACCCUGGAUGGUGUAGAGGUUCCGCUGGGAACAGGGAUUCCGUCUGGUGUUAAUGACACCUGCCUGCUGUAUAACGAGUACAUUGUCUACGACAUUGCUCAGGUGAAUCUGAAGUACCUACUGAAACUGAAGUUCAAUUUCAAGACCUCCUUGUGGUAGAGUGAAGGCGGGCUUUGCCAGCACCCGGGGCCUAGGGGAUAAUGCCCCUAGUGCCUCUGCACCAAACACCACAACACCUCAGCCAUGCUGCCGCCUCAGGGUGGCACCCUCACCGAAUCUCCUUAGGAAGGACUUUACACAGAUAGGUUGCGCUGGAGUGGGACGGCUGUUUGUGGUUUGUCCAACCAGGCACAGCCGUGACAGACAGCUGGCAGUAGAGGGAAAGUUGGGGAGAGGUUUUUGUUGUUUGCCUAGACUAGUCCUGAGGGAAGAAACCGCCACGUCACAGUCACAAUGUCUGCCUUACUGGCUUCCCCAGGGAAGGAAAAUGUGCUUCCUCCCUUCUUUCAAGGGUUCAUCUUUGGUUUGAUUUUGGCAAAAUGUUAAGCAUUUAUUUUGAGCUAAAAAAUAAAAACUAAUUUCAUACUAUAUAGAUUUUCUUUUUUUAUCUUGUAUGUCCCCUUCUUAGCCUUCUUGGCUUUUGUUUUGCUGGGUUUUCAGUGAUAGACGUGGGGUAACCAAAAGAAGGGGCUCCCUGAAGCACUUAGCUGGGGAACUGAGCCUGUAGUGUGGUCGGUUCGAAGUCGCGCUUGGGAUUCUUGAUUCAUCCCUGAGCAAUUUGUCUUCCACAUUGAACCGUCUGUAAUCAGUAUAGCCACCCAAAGGGCUAUGGUUCUCAAUUAAAAUGCAAAUGGCUAUCUA
Molecule: long non-coding RNA, 1704 nt
Filed under: Rattus norvegicus (Norway rat)
Lineage: Eukaryota; Metazoa; Chordata; Mammalia; Rodentia; Muridae
Description: long non-coding RNA NONRATT008515
Source: RNAcentral